GGCGCCAAUAGCUUAGUUGGUUAAAGCGCCUGUAUAGUAAACAGGAGAUCUGAGUUCGAAUCUCAGUGGUGCCU
Molecule: transfer RNA, 74 nt
Filed under: Saccoglossus kowalevskii
Lineage: Eukaryota; Metazoa; Hemichordata; Enteropneusta; Harrimaniidae
Description: tRNA-Thr
Rfam family: tRNA
About the family: Transfer RNA (tRNA) molecules are approximately 80 nucleotides in length.
Source: RNAcentral